RNAcentral lists this unclassified non-coding RNA (1435 nucleotides) under Drosophila virilis. Its description in RNAcentral is "GJ13108". Lineage: Eukaryota; Metazoa; Arthropoda; Insecta; Diptera; Drosophilidae. The record is from RNAcentral.
AAAAUUCAAAAGAUUAUUAAGCAUUAUUAUUUUUGGUGAAUCUUUGAUAUAAGAUAUACCAACGGGUUUCUUGUUAAGCAAAAUUUAAUGUAUUUUGUUCCUAAUAGUUGGCAACACCAGCCCGUGACGUCACACAAAGAGUUUGUUUUUCCCUAAUCAAGUGAAUCAUCCAUAAAGAGAAAAUUAUUGUAAAUAGUGGACACUGACUGAAUUCAGCUACAGGUGACAAGAUGUUCUCCAGUGGCCCCAACUAUAACAAACUCAAGACAAAUCUGCGCCUAGCGCAGAAUCGUCUCAAGUUGCUAGAAAAAAAGAAGGCGGAGCUCACGCAAAAGUCCCGCAAGGAAAUUGCCGACUACCUCGCCACAGGUAAAAUAGAACGGGCACGCAUACGAGUGGAGCAUAUUAUACGUGAGGAUUAUCUGGUAGAGGCCAUGGAAAUUGUGGAAAUGUACUGCGAUCUGUUGCUGGCACGCUUUGGCUUGAUACAGCAAAUGAAGGAACUGGAUGCUGGCAUAGCCGAGCCGGUGUCGAGCCUUGUUUGGGUGUGCCCUCGCUUGCAGAGCGACAUUGGCGAGCUGAAGGUCAUCUCUGACAUCUUUGUCCAUAAGUAUGGGCCACAGUUUGCGGAGCAUUCGCGCACCGCCACUGGCGAGCAUUUUGUCUCGGAGAAGCUGAUGCACAAGCUGACGCUCCAGGCGCCGCCCAAGCUGCUUGUGGAGAACUACUUAAUAGCCAUUGCCAAGAACUACAACAUCGAAUACGAGCCUGAUCCACAGGUCAUGCAGGAGGAGCAAAAGCCCGAUCAGCAGCAUCAUCUAAUCGAUUUGUCAGAUCGCAAUAAUCUUAGUGGUGGCGGCGGCGGCGGCGGAGGCGCGCCUGCUCCACCCCAAAUGGGCUUCAUUGGCUACCCAGCAAUGCCACAGCUGCCAGACAUGCCAGUGCCGCCCAGCAGUAAGCCAUUUAACUAUCCGCCCUUCGGUGGCAGCGGCGGCGGCGGUGGUGGUGGUGGUGGUGUUGGUGGAGGAGCCUGUGCCGCUCCAUCUCCCGUUCAGCCGCCGCCACCAUUUGCAUAUAAUAUACCGCCCAAUCAGCCGCCGGCAUCGACUUCGGCGCAGGGCAAGUGCGCAGAAGAAAAGGAUUUGAAUACGAAUUUUAUAAAUCACGAAACUAAAACCAACAACGGUGAGUCGGAUGGCUCUGGCAGUCCGGACGAGAACAUUUUGAGAACACAAUGAGUCAUGGUCGUGGUGUCAGCUUUCUAUUCUUCCUGCUAUCGCCGCUUAUGAUUAUAUAUGAUUUCAUUAUUUAUGAUUUUAUUUACUGAACUUUUUAUUUUGCAUAACAGCGCCCCAAACCGCAAAAUGAUCCACCGCCACGUUACUCCUCGAUUAAUCCCGUUAAUUUGCAGAAUGCCAACAAACCGAAACCUCAA